AAAUGUUGCAAAGACUCCAGUAUUCUCAUCUUAUUGUUCACAUUUCCUACCAAGUACAACUUCUGAAGAUUCUUAAGCAGGUACUCAAGCUGGGCUCUUGAUGACAUCAGUGAAUUUCACACAAAGUUUAUUUCAGGUGAUCAUGGGGGAAGUAAAAAGCAGUAUGAUCUGCCUUUGUGGGAUGGUGGUGGAGGUGAAGCUCUUGUGGGUUAGUCAUUUAGAAAGCCUUAGUUGGGAUCUUAGGUAAGUAGGCUGAAUGCUAUUGAGAGAGGUAAUGUCUUCAAGGAUGAACGUUCUUGGUACAGCAGGCUAGUCUAUUUGCCUCAGGUACUCUCCAGAAACUUAGGCUGCUGUAUGCUCCAUAAGUUAGGAUCCUGCAAACAGACUCUUCAUCCAGGGACCUAGCAGCACCUUACAGACAGCCGUGUUCUUCUUUUAGAACCUGAGACGCUCUGUGCUUACUCUGAGGUGGGAGAAGUAACAGCAAAGCUGCUGACCCCAGGUGCACUGGGCUACCAAUGAAGAGGGUGACUCAGGACCAUGUAAGCCUGUGGGAGCCAGGAAAAGCACGGUACAGACUCCAGCCCUAUGUCUCCAGACUGAGUCCGAAGGAGACAUGCUGCCCAUGCUACCCAUCCAUCCUAGGGUAUCAGCACUUGGUCGAGGCAGGGUGCACAGGCCACAGCAAUGAUCAAGAAAGCAUCUGAGGCCUAAGCUUCAGGGAGGCAGCUUACAUUGAACCUCAGCUCUCUGCCACCCUUGGACACUAGCUUCAUUUCAGCUUCCUAAUCUCUAGAAGAUGCCCUCUGUUGUGACUCUGCACGCAAACGCAUCUCAGCAUCCACAGAUACAGCCUCCUAACUGACCUAAUAUUUUUUAGAUUUCACAUGUGCUCUCAAUCCAGGUAAGUGGUGAAGACAUAGAUUGCCCUUCCCCUUAACUGGGAGUUUCCAUAAUUACUGACCCUGCUUACUGGUGAGUGCGACUUUAUUUUUCUGGCUCCGGAGAUGGGCAAAGACCUCUUAAGAGCUAUCAUGGCGGGUCUGCCUGUUGUGCUGCUAACCCUCCAGUAGGGGGCGCCAAAGACUAAGGAUCUGCAUCAGCGCUUGUCACAGACGCCUGAAAAUCCUUUCCUUGGAGAGGAACACUAUGGGUGUGAAAUGCAUACGUGGUGAUAGGGUCAUAUACAGUUGUGAGCAACCUUAAAGCGCAUCUAAUCCAACCCUUCAUUCUACAGUUGAGGAAACCGAUGCCCAGAGAGUUUUAGUGACUUUCCCAAGACAGUAAAGUGGCAAAGCCAGGAUUAAAAUCCAGGGUGUCAGACGUCAAUCAUUCCACCAUUGCUUGCUGCCUCUCAAGUUGGGGUACAUGUGUCAGUUGCUUUUAUUUAACUUUAUUUUUUUUCUUCUUUGGUGUAAAACAAGGCUCACUAGUUAUGGAGGAGAGACAUAUUUGGAAAUGACUGGAAUGUAAAAAAGAUGAGGGAUCAAUAAAACCUAAAAAAUACCCA
This 1510-nucleotide long non-coding RNA is filed under the name Phascolarctos cinereus (koala). RNAcentral's name for it is "lncRNA (ENSPCIG00000018683.2)". Lineage: Eukaryota; Metazoa; Chordata; Mammalia; Diprotodontia; Phascolarctidae. The record is from RNAcentral.